This 1766-nucleotide long non-coding RNA is filed under the name Sus scrofa (pig). RNAcentral's name for it is "lncRNA (ENSSSCG00045006210.1)". The record is from RNAcentral. Lineage: Eukaryota; Metazoa; Chordata; Mammalia; Artiodactyla; Suidae.
GGCUGGAUGAGUUGGCUUGGCUCCACAUGGGAGAGGGGGUGCCAUCAUCCCCAGUGGUCAACACAAGAAUGCUUCCAUGAUCACUAGUGCUUGUUUUGGCCAGCAGUAUUUUCUGAAAGAUCGUUGCUCCUGGAAUAUGAUGAAAAGGUUUACUAUCCAAAGUGUAAGAAGUUUGAGAAGGUUCAAAGGAAAGAAACACCAAAGGCGACUUAGGAAGAAAGAUAAUUUGCUGGAGUAGACAGUACUGGCCUGGGAUUCAGAGUCUGAGAUCUGGAUCCCCAGGUGCUGACAGAAGCUUGCCUGAGGAUAGAAGUAAGCUGCCAUAGAGUGCUAGCAGGUGAGGACUCUAUAGGUGGGGAGGAAAGUGGAGAUGGGAGUUGGAAUCUGGAGACAGUGUGAUUCUGACUUUGCUAUAGAAGUAUAUUAAAAUGUCCCUGAAUAUGGAGUUCUCUUGUGGUGCAGUGGGUUAAGGAUCCAGUGUUGUCACUGCUGUGGCUUGGGUCCUUGGUGUGGUGUGGAUUUGGUCCCUGGCCUAGGAACUUCUAUGUGCUGCAGGCAUGGCCCAAAGGAAAAAAAAAAAAAAAUGUCCCUGAGUAGAGGUGAGAAUUACAUAUUUCAGAUCAGAGUAGCACAGGAGUAAAGAGGACAAGCACUUUGGAAGUGGAGAUUUUUUUAGAGAAUGAAAGAGAUAUUUAGUUAUUUAUGUAAUAAACAUUAAUUUAGUAAUUACUAUGUGCCUGUCACUGGGACUCUAUGCUGAAUGUGGUCUCUGCUUUCACUGAAAUACAAAAGUGGUGGUCGUCUAGGGACUGUUGGUAAACCAGAGAAUGAAAUGAAAAUAGUGAUGUAUAUAAAUGAUUAUUAUCUGUGAUAAAAUACUCCUAUUCUGAUAUCUGCCUGGGUAUUAUAAUUCAGUUUGAUCAUCAGUAAAAUGCCUUCAAAGGAGAAUGUUGAGAGUUCUCUAGUCCAGCUUUUCAAACAAUUUAUUAAAAUUUAACUUCCUAGAAGUAGGCAGGGGGUUAUACUUCUUCUCUACCAUCUAAGUUUACUCAGUAUUAAUUAAAAUUUAGAGAUGUUUCUAAAUUCAGGCAUUUUUGCAAUGGCAUGAUUUUGGAAUAGGAUGCAAUUAAUACUUAAAAAAUGUAAUUUUACUUAUGCUGGUGUUUCCCAUUGUGUGAUGGUUGUCAUGCUAUUAGUGGUAUGCAGGAUGAACAAGCAUUUUAAUAUUUAUAUUUCUCCUAUUAGAUAUACCUUCUGUUUAUGACAGUGAUUUGACCUUUCCCUCUGACAUCCAUGUAACUAAAAGACAGUUUUCUUCAAAAUAUUAAAUGACUUAUAAAUAGUAUAAAGGCUAUGAAUAUAUGGCAAACAUCUUGAAUAUGGUGCUUGGAUAACCUAGCAUUCAAAUGACUACAUUAUGAAACUACUGUUGUCUAUAAUUCAGUGAGAAUUGGUAACUCCCCAGCCAUAACUCUGUCAUUGCCCCUGCUCAGGAAGAUACAGCUGCCCUCAUUGAGGGGCUGGCUCAUCAGGUAAUAGUGUUCAUUUGAUUAGAGUUGCCAGUUGUAAGCUGUGUUACAAGUAAGUUGCCUAAACAAGAUGGAAGAUGGUGGCAACAAAGAGCAGAUUCUUGGAUAUGUAAGUGAAACAUAGCUGAGAAGUAAAUAUUACUUUCAUUUUGGUCACUUUUGAUCAAUUCAUUUAUUAUUUUUAGUUUACAAUAGCAAAAUAUAACUAUCUAUUAAACACCUUUUUAUUAUAGCUUC